RNAcentral lists this ribosomal RNA (459 nucleotides) under uncultured bacterium. RNAcentral describes it as "partial 16S ribosomal RNA". It matches the Rfam family "Bacterial small subunit ribosomal RNA", at positions 338 to 795 of the family's 1533-position model. The record is from RNAcentral.
CCUACGGGCGGCAGCAGUGAGGAAUAUUGGUCAAUGGCCGGAAGGCUGAACCAGCCAAGCCGCGUGAAGGACGAAGGUGCCAAGCAUUGUAAACUUCUUUUGUCAAGGGACAAAAUCAGGCUCGAGAGCCUGACCGAGGGUACUUGAAGAAAAAGCAUCGGCUAACUCCGUGCCAGCAGCCGCGGUAAUACGGAGGAUGCGAGCGUUAUCCGGAUUUAUUGGGUUUAAAGGGUGCGUAGGCGGACAGUCAAGUCAGCGGUAAAAAUGCGGUGCUCAACGCCGUACAGCCGUUGAAACUGGCAGUCUUGAGUGGGCGAGAAGUAUGCGGAAUGCGUGGUGUAGCGGUGAAAUGCAUAGAUAUCACGCAGAACUCCGAUUGCGAAGGCAGCAUACCGGCGCCCUACUGACGCUGAGGCACGAAAGCGUGGGUAUCGAACAGGAUUAGAUACCCGAGUAGUC